GACGAACCGUCCGAACGUUAUUGGGAAUCACUGGGCUUAAAGGGUGCGUAGGCGGCGCGGAAAGUUGGGUGUGAAAUCCCUCGGCUCAACCGAGGCACUGCGCCCAAAACUACCGCGCUCGAGGGAGAUAGAGGUGAGCGGAACUUAGGGUGGAGCGGUGAAAAGCGUUGAUAUCCUAAGGAACACCGGUGGCGAAAGCGGCUCACUGGAUCUCUUCUGACGCUGAGGCACGACAGCUAGGGUAGCGAAUGCG
This 253-nucleotide ribosomal RNA is filed under the name uncultured bacterium. RNAcentral's name for it is "partial 16S ribosomal RNA". It matches the Rfam family "Bacterial small subunit ribosomal RNA", at positions 524 to 776 of the family's 1533-position model. The record is from RNAcentral.